GACGAACGCUGGCGGCGUGCUUAACACAUGCAAGUCGAACGAUGAACCGGUUUCGGCCGGGGAUUAGUGGCGAACGGGUGAGUAACACGUGGGCAAUCUGCCCUGCACUCUGGGAUAAGCCCGGGGAACUGGGUCUAAUACCGGAUACGACACUCCGAGGCAUCUUGGGGUGUGGAAAGUUCCGGCGGUGCAGGAUGAGCCCGCGGCCUAUCAGCUUGUUGGUGGGGUAAUGGCCUACCAAGGCGACGACGGGUAGUCGGCCUGAGAGGGUGACCGGCCACACUGGGACUGAGACACGGCCCAGACUCCUACGGGAGGCAGCAGUGGGGAAUAUUGCACAAUGGGCGAAAGCCUGAUGCAGCGACGCCGCGUGAGGGAUGACGGCCUUCGGGUUGUAAACCUCUUUCAGCAGGGAAGAAGCGAAAGUGACGGUACCUGCAGAAGAAGCACCGGCUAACUACGUG
RNAcentral lists this ribosomal RNA (464 nucleotides) under uncultured bacterium. RNAcentral's name for it is "partial 16S ribosomal RNA". It matches the Rfam family "Bacterial small subunit ribosomal RNA", at positions 28 to 507 of the family's 1533-position model. The record is from RNAcentral.